CUAUUAAAUGGGAGUUGGUCGUUUGACACUCAACGCACUUUGGUGGUCGUCAUUAAAACAAUCCGGACCGUUAAAUCUAAUCUCACAGACUCCGCUCAAAAUCCAUCCGUCCAACCUACUUUUCCAAUUCUGCUGUCUACUUUUAAGGCAGGUCGCCUGACUUUAGUGCGAAUCAAAUCACGUCAAUUACGGUAAUCAUAUAUAUAUUAAUUAUGAAAAUUUCUUUCCUUGCUCCAAAAGCUUUAUCUCACAACCAUCUAUCCCCCGCCCAUGAAAAUCCGGACUCCAUGGAAAUCCCCCUCCCGAGCGAGACAUCCAGCCCCUAUCCACAUCCGGCCGGACCUUCGACGCUCAGGUGCCUCUCCUUCUGGCAGGCGCGUUACGGAGAGCAGCCGAGGUAGAGGAAGAGCGAGCUGAGGGAGAGGAGAGAGAUCCAUGCGCAGUGUAGGCAGCGGAGCUCUAGCCGUGGCCCUGGUGGCCAACGGGGACGACCAAGGUGGAUGGUGGCGCUCGGCGACGGCUACGGCUGAAGGGGCCAGCUCCCUAAUUUUCCGCACCUGCAAAGCGGCCUGGAUCAAUGAUAGCAACACGGAUCACCGGCGGUGGCGCCGUCAUGGCAUGAUGGCAUACAUGUGACAACUGACCAUCGGACUGUCCUCCACCAACGUUGCCCCUCUGCAUAGCUCGACAUGAUUGAUGCCAGUACCUCCACCCUUUGGUAGGCGCCAUGUCGCCCAUGGCCGCCAAGGUCAACGCAGGCUGUUGAGCACCACCCUUUCAGCUGGCUCUGCGCACAUGCUGUCCUCAACUCGAUAGCGAGGAUGAGCAAGCAGGUAUUGUAAAGCUUCACCUUUUUAUUUGAUCCUUUGAAUGAGUUCUAUCUGUUUUCAAUUAGAUGAUAUGUAGUACUUCAUUAAGGUAAUCCAAACGCUUCAGCACCAAUGUUCGCUCCAUUCUUUUUUUUAGCUGGAAACAUUCGCUUCAUUCUGUUUAGUGCAAAAUUUUCUACUUUGUUUCAUGCCACUGGUGUCUCUUGUAAGUAGUAUAAGCACAUAUAUGCCAUCAUUUUCACUUUUUCUAGCUGGAGUAUGUUCCUGACUUCAGGAGUAAUAUUGUUCUCUAUUUAUUAUUUAUUAUUACAGGACACACAGUACUGUAGUAUCUUUGUUGACAGUGACUAUCUUGAAUGGAGUGACACAUCUUUUUAUGGAUAUUCAGUUAAUGGACCUCGGAUUUUUGGAGCUUGUCAUUCUUAAUUUACCAUCCUGUUUUUUUCCUAUAUAUGCUGAAAAGGUAAGUGGACUUUCGUGUGUUGAAAGUUGAAUAUUUGCUUGUGUCAUAAGGAAGUUUAGUUUGCUAAGGAAAAUCUGUUAUAUUCUUAUAACAUGCUUACCUCCCCUCCCACCCUAAAAAUGCCACCUUUGUUUCGCUAAAUUUAGCGUAUACUAAAUUAUCAUAACUUGAUUUGUAGCCUUGCUUCUACAGUGGUUAGAUGGAGUUAUGGACAAAGGACCAUAUUGCUGAAAGUUGAAACUGGUUUUUCCUUGGUGUCAAUUUUGAUUUACCAUAUUUGUUUCCAUGUAAUAAUUUCUUGGUGAUAUAGACAGAGUAUGAUAAGCCUGUGGAGGUGAAUCAUGCAGAGGAGCAGCAACAGAAAGGCCAACAACAAGCCUGGAAUAAGAGGUGGACAAGGGCGAUGGAUGCGGUCACGAUCGUACCAUGACCCGCUCAUCCCCCCUCUCGCUAUUAUUGGUCUUCCUUGCUGUUCAUAUACUUUGGAAAUUUUAGAUUGACGGUUGAUUCGCUGGCUGAUAUAAUCAACUUCUCUCUUUUUCGAGUCUUAUUGAACUUCCUACAAUAUGUGGAAGCUUUUUUCUAAUGAAACUGUUAAAUGCAGCGCCGAGGGCUCGCUUAGUAACCAGUUUUAAUGAUAAAAUGGUCUUUAUGUUUAGAAUUCAUGUUGGUAAUUGAAAUGAAAUAAAUAUAAAUGGAUUCAUGGUAGUAUUUGUUGAUUAAAUUUUGUAGGAUUUUUAACAUGGUCUAUGGCGGAUACCAUGAGAAUGGUCAAUACACAGACAAUAUGCUUUGGUGUUCAAAUAUGUGUUAUGAUCUCUUGGUCAUCAUAUCAAGGAAACUGUUCCUCUUCAUAGUACUUGUUUUACAAACUGAUAGCCACCAUGCCAUUACCAUGGGAGCAAGAAGAACAUGGCUGCUUCAGACAUGCAUCUGUCUCAGCAAAAAGAGGGCAUAUUCUCUACUGAUCCCAUGGCUUUGAUAUAUAUAAUCUGCUAUUUUAUUGAUGCUGGUCUACUACAGAAAUAAUUGGAACAAAUGGCUCUUUGGCAAGGAUCCCAAAGCCGCGUGGUUGUGGCUCCAGAGAUGUUUAAUAGAGGACAAUGUUGGGCGCUGAAGACCUUGUGCAAAGAAAUGUUUUGGAACUUUUUACAAGGCUUUGUUUAACCUUCAGCAUGAACUUCUAUGGAAGAGAUUACGUGGUUGUGUCCAGCAGAAAGCUGGGGUGUAUAGGUGCUCGUCGUGUUGAGCAUAGAUUGUUUUUACAAAGGUGUUGAGCAUAGUUAACUUCCCCUUGCAAAAACUGUUGGCGUUCGCCAACGGCCAACUCCAGUACAAAUAAUUAAUAAAAUG
Lolium perenne is the source of this 2646-nucleotide non-coding RNA. Lineage: Eukaryota; Viridiplantae; Streptophyta; Magnoliopsida; Poales; Poaceae. The record is from RefSeq and is a predicted model, not a curated record.